Long non-coding RNA from Ipomoea triloba (trilobed morning glory), 863 nucleotides. RefSeq lists it as uncharacterized. NCBI's taxonomy places the organism in Eukaryota, Viridiplantae, Streptophyta, Magnoliopsida, Solanales, Convolvulaceae. The record is from RefSeq and is a predicted model, not a curated record. The transcript is spliced from 2 exons.
AUGGAAAAUUUAAAAUAAUUUUGAGAAGCCAUCAUCAUGUUUCACCCGUUCUAGAGCUCUACAAGAUUCAAUUGCGGCAUAAACUUGCAAGAUUGCUUGGCUAUGCUAUUUUGCUGGAUAUGCCACGGAUGUUAGAAUGCCCAGCUCAUCCUCAAAGCUACCUCACUUGUCUGUUAGAAUGCCCAGCUCAUCGCGAUUUUUCUUGUAGUGUGCUGCCGGCUACUUCACUACCAAUUCGACAAUACUUGAAAAUGCAGUUUCUGUGGGAUCGGAGCUGUAUGUCUUGACGGAUGGGGUUCGGGGAAGGGAACAAAGUUGCGGUGAGAUACUGCGACGGGUCAUCGUUCACCGGAGACGUUGAAAGCGUUGAUCCAACUACUGGCCUCCACUUUAGAGGUAGGUAGGAGGAUCUUUGACGCUUUAGUGGACGAUCUACUGGUGAACAGAGGAAUGAAGGAUGCCACGCCGCAUGUAUUCCUCACUGGCGACUCUGCAGGUGGGUUAUCUGUUAUAAUCCAUUGCGAUCGUUUCUCUAAGCGCUUCCCAAAUGCCAAUACAGUGAAGUGUCUAUUUGAUGGUGGCUUUUUCCUCCACUCCAAAGAUCCCGCCCGAGCUCAAGAGAUGGAAUCAAAGUUUCCAGGGGUAGUUGAUUUACACAACUCAACCGGCCUCCUACCUGAGGCUUGCAAAAACAAGAUGAAUGCAAAAACAAUACAGCAGCUUGAUCCAACCCAAUAGGGCAAUAGAUAAAUGCAUCUAUCAUCUAUCCUAUCUUUAAUUUCUUAUGUUGCGUUAAGUUUAUCGGAUCCCGUGUAUAAUAUAAUGAAAUGAUCAAUGCAAUUGGAAUUAUUGCAGUUUGUUUA